RNAcentral lists this unclassified non-coding RNA (334 nucleotides) under soil metagenome. RNAcentral's name for it is "partial contains 5.8S ribosomal RNA, internal transcribed spacer 2, and large subunit ribosomal RNA". The stretch from base 1 to 120 matches the Rfam family "5.8S ribosomal RNA", at positions 35 to 154 of the family's 154-position model. The record is from RNAcentral.
GAUGAAGAACGCAGCGAAAUGCGAUAAGUAAUGUGAAUUGCAGAAUUCAGUGAAUCAUCGAAUCUUUGAACGCACAUUGCGCCCGCCAGUAUUCUGGCGGGCAUGCCUGUUCGAGCGUCAUUUCAACCAUCAAGCCCCGCUUGCGUUGGGGUCCUGCGGCUGCCCGCAGGCCCUGAAAACCAGUGGCGGGCUCGCUAGUCACACCGAGCGCAGUAAUACAUCUCGCUUUGGGCGUGCGGCGGGUUCUUGCCGUUAAACACCCCCUUUUUACCAAGGUUGACCUCGGAUCAGGUAGGAAUACCCGCUGAACUUAAGCAUAUCAAUAAGCGGAGGA